UCAGAGAGAGGAAGUAAAUUGCUCAGGUUCACUCAGCUAGGAAGCAACAGAUCAGGAUUCGAGCCCAGUCCAAAAUCAUAAUUCACUCCCUUGAAAAGCCAAAAGAGAGAGAGAACAGGGCCAGACGGGGUGGCGUCAGGAGGGUUGUGGGUCCCCUGGCUGCUGUGCAGAGCUUACAUCGGGCGCUCAAAGGAGCCCGAGCCAACCACUGCCCAAGAGAUUCUACCAAGAUGAAAAUGGUUCCUCCCCAGCCACAGUUCCAUCACCUGCGUGAUGGGACGAGAGACUGGAUCAGGUGUUCUCCACAGCCGGUUAUGAAGUGAUCCCAGGCCUGGGUCUCCUGAUGAGUCCAUCUGACUUCCACUCUCCAGCACCCCCAGGGUUUACUGCUUCCAUCCUGCUGACAGCCAUAUGCUCUUCUCUGGCUGAUUCAAGGUCAACGAGAAGAAUGCCUGGGAGUUGGCUGGACCUGCUUUGUGUCUCUGCUUUAUGCUGUACAAGCUGCAUGUCCUUGGGCUAACGUCUUCACCUCUCUGGGCCUUGGUUCUUUCAACCAUGGUUGUGGAGAUGGCAAAACCUGAUCUUAGCCUUUUUUGAGGACUAAGUGAGUUAAUACAUGUAAAAUACUUAAAGCAGUAAGCCCCUUUUUGUUGUUGUUUGUUUGUUUCUUGAGAUGAAAUCUCGCUCUGUCACCCAGGCUGGAGUGCAGUGGUGCGAUCUCGGCUCACUGUAACCUCCGCCUCCCAGGUUCUAGCGAUUCUACUGCCUCAGCCUCCCAAGUAGGCCCUUUUGAAGCACUCAGCAAAUGGUGGCUUUUAUUAUUAUCUGAAACAUUAAUUUCCUUAAGAAAUUAUACUGUGUAGUAUCUCUUGGAAUUAAAUAGGGAGAAAUGUCCCCAAAAUCAUUAAAUAAAUAACACAACUUAGAAAACUGCAGUUUCACCAACCUAAAUUCUCAUGUUUUGCUUUGAAAUGUUGAAUACUGUUUUUUUUGUUUUUUUUUUAAGGCAGAAUUUCACUCUUACUGCCCAGCUUGGAGGGCAACGGCGCCAUCUUGGCUCACUGCAACCUCUGCCUCCCAGGUUCAAGUGAUUCUCCUGCUUCAGCCUCUCGAGUACUUGUGAUUACAGGCAUGCGCCACCACGCCCGGCUAAUUUUGUAUGUUUUUUUAGUACAGACGGGAUUUCACCAUGUUAGUCAGGCUGGUCUCAAACUCCUGACCUCAGGUGAUCCACCCACCUUGGCCUCCCAAAGUACUGGGAUUACAGGUGUGAGCCACUGCUCCCAGACAGAAACAUUAAAGUCUUUACUCACAUAGGCAGAAGAGCUAGGGCAGAGGUGAGAGGUUUGGGGCAAAUAUUUCCUGCUUCUCACCCUGGUGGACAUACCAAGUCAACCUUCGCUCUGAGAACACCUAGACAUGGCCUAGAAAGAUGAGCUGAAAUUUGAAGUUGCCCUCAGGCUUUGAGGUGGGACUCUAAUAACCAUGAUUAAUGCAUUCAGGGAAUAACAUGACAAGAAUGUCAGCAGAAAACUAGGAACUAUAAAAAAGAAUCAUAUGGAAAUUCCAGAACUGAAAAAUAUGAUACUGAAAUUAAGAUUUGCAGUUAUUAAAAUCACAGACUGUGAGCCACACUGCCCAGGUUUAAGUCCAGGCUCCAGUCUCUGCCAUGUACAAUGCCACACCUGUUUCUUUCUUUCUGUUUUUUUUUUUAAUCGAUGUAAAACUCACAUAACACAAUAAAUUAUUUUGAAAUGUACAAUUUGGCCAGGCGCGGUGGCUGUCUCUACUAAAAGUACAAAAAAUACAAAAAGUACAAAAAUUAGCCAGGUGUAGUGGCAGGUGCCUGUAAUCCCAACUACUCAGGAAGCUGGGGCAGGAGAAUCACUUGAACCCGGGAAGCAGAGGUUGCAGUGAGCUGAGAUCGUGACACUGCACUCCAGCCUGGGCGACAAGAGCAAGACUCUGUCUCAAAAAAAAAAAAAAAAAAUAUGGCUGCGUGAGGUGGCUCACGCCUGUAAUCCCAGCACUUUGGGAGGCCAAGGCAGGCGGAUCACAAUGUCAGGAGUUGGAGACCAGCCUGAUCAACACGGUGAAACCCCAUCUCUACUAAAAAUACAAAAAUUAGCCAGGCGUGGUGGCGCACGCCUGUAAUCCCAGCUACUCGGGAAGCUGAGGCAGGAGAAUUGCUUGAACUAAGGAGGCAGAAGUUGCAGUGAGUUGAGAUUGCGCCACUGUACUCCAGCCUAUUUAUUAAAAAAAUAAUAAUAAAAUAAAAUAAACACAUAAUAUGUGACUUUUUUUGUUUGGCUUCUUUCACUUAGCAUGUUUUUCAGGUUCAUCCAUGUUGUAGCAUGUAUCAGUAUUUCAUUCCUUUUUGUGGCUGAAUAAUAUUUCAUUGUAUAGCUAUACCAUGUUUUGUUUAUCCAUUCAUCCAUUGAUGAACAUCUGGGUCGUUUCUGUGUUUUGGCUAGUAUGAAUAAUGUUGCUAUAAACAUUCGUGUACAAGUUUCUGUGUGUGCAUACAUUUUCAUUUCUUGGGUACAUACCUGGGUGUGGAGUAAGUCUUUGUUCCUUUUU
This 2580-nucleotide long non-coding RNA is filed under the name Homo sapiens (human). RNAcentral describes it as "HSALNT0055078". The record is from RNAcentral. Lineage: Eukaryota; Metazoa; Chordata; Mammalia; Primates; Hominidae.